CGGAAGACCAAGGGUUCCUGUCCAACGUUAAUCGGGGCAGGGUGAGUCGACCCCUAAGGCGAGGCCGAAAGGCGUAGUCGAUGGGAAACGGGUUAAUAUUCCCGUACUUGGUGUUACUGCGAAGGGGGGACGGAGAAGGCUAUGUUGGCCGGGCGACGGUUGUCCCGGUUUAAGCGUGUAGGUGUGUGUUCCAGGUAAAUCCGGUUCACUUUAACACUGAGGCGUGAUGACGAGGCACUACGGUGCUGAAGCAACAAAUGCCCUGCUUCCAGGAAAAGCCUCUAAGCAUCAGGUAACAUCAAAUCGUACCCCAAACCGACACAGGUGGUCAGGUAGAGAAUACCAAGGCGCUUGAGAGAACUCGGGUGAAGGAACUAGGCAAAAUGGUGCCGUAACUUCGGGAGAAGGCACGCUGACACGUAGGUGAAGUGAUUUACUCACGGAGCUGAAGUCAGUCGAAGAUACCAGCUGGCUGCAACUGUUUAUUAAAAACACAGCACUGUGCAAACACGAAAGUGGACGUAUACGGUGUGACGCCUGCCCGGUGCCGGAAGGUUAAUUGAUGGGGUCAGCGCAAGCG
This 580-nucleotide ribosomal RNA is filed under the name Salmonella enterica subsp. enterica serovar Kentucky. Its description in RNAcentral is "partial 23S ribosomal RNA". It matches the Rfam family "Bacterial large subunit ribosomal RNA", at positions 1338 to 1901 of the family's 2925-position model. Lineage: Bacteria; Pseudomonadati; Pseudomonadota; Gammaproteobacteria; Enterobacterales; Enterobacteriaceae. The record is from RNAcentral.